RNAcentral lists this ribosomal RNA (605 nucleotides) under uncultured Salmonella sp. RNAcentral describes it as "bacterial SSU rRNA". It matches the Rfam family "Bacterial small subunit ribosomal RNA", at positions 896 to 1501 of the family's 1533-position model. The record is from RNAcentral. Lineage: Bacteria; Pseudomonadati; Pseudomonadota; Gammaproteobacteria; Enterobacterales; Enterobacteriaceae.
AAAACUCAAAUGAAUUGACGGGGGCCCGCACAAGCGGUGGAGCAUGUGGUUUAAUUCGAUGCAACGCGAAGAACCUUACCUGGUCUUGACAUCCACGGAAGUUUUCAGAGAUGAGAAUGUGCCUUCGGGAACCGUGAGACAGGUGCUGCAUGGCUGUCGUCAGCUCGUGUUGUGAAAUGUUGGGUUAAGUCCCGCAACGAGCGCAACCCUUAUCCUUUGUUGCCAGCGGUCCGGCCGGGAACUCAAAGGAGACUGCCAGUGAUAAACUGGAGGAAGGUGGGGAUGACGUCAAGUCAUCAUGGCCCUUACGACCAGGGCUACACACGUGCUACAAUGGCGCAUACAAAGAGAAGCGACCUCGCGAGAGCAAGCGGACCUCAUAAAGUGCGUCGUAGUCCGGAUUGGAGUCUGCAACUCGACUCCAUGAAGUCGGAAUCGCUAGUAAUCGUGGAUCAGAAUGCCACGGUGAAUACGUUCCCGGGCCUUGUACACACCGCCCGUCACACCAUGGGAGUGGGUUGCAAAAGAAGUAGGUAGCUUAACCUUCGGGAGGGCGCUUACCACUUUGUGAUUCAUGACUGGGGUGAAGUCGUAACAAGGUAGCC